Long non-coding RNA from Cygnus olor (mute swan), 326 nucleotides. RefSeq lists it as uncharacterized. NCBI's taxonomy places the organism in Eukaryota, Metazoa, Chordata, Aves, Anseriformes, Anatidae. The transcript has 4 exons. The record is from RefSeq and is a predicted model, not a curated record.
AAUGUUGCCUAAAGCCAUCUUCACUUGCCGUCUGAAGCACGCCUUCAAGGGACGAGCAGAUGUUCAGUCACCACUGCACGUUACAGAGAACACAGGUUCAGGGCUCACGAAGCCUCCCUAAAGACUGGUUUGCUGCUUUCUCAGUUUUACUGAUGGCAAAGCAACUACAAAUAUCUAAAGGUAACCAGUUAACCACUCUUUGCCUUCAUAAUGGGAUCAUCUGGAGAUGAGUUACCUCCUUCUCUGAAGUAUGUUGCAAUCCGAAGAGCUAACGCAGUAUUAGUUUCAUGUGAUGGGGCCCAUUUAAUAUGCAGUGGAGAAACAGA